This is a long non-coding RNA of Gadus chalcogrammus (walleye pollock), 763 nucleotides long. RefSeq lists it as uncharacterized. The record is from RefSeq and is a predicted model, not a curated record. Lineage: Eukaryota; Metazoa; Chordata; Actinopteri; Gadiformes; Gadidae. The transcript is spliced from 3 exons.
GCCAGAAGAGGAGGUGAGUGAUAGCUCCCACCCUGCCAUUGUUCCACUGAAGGACGCUCCACCAAUCACAGAGCAGGAAAACGUCCCGAGUCCCGCCCCCAACUACAUCACCAUCCACUACUCCAGAGUACCCAGUGUGGACCAGGUGGAAGUCCCCAAGCUGCCUCAGGGUAGAAGCAAAGAACCAAAGGAUUCUUCUAACGUUGUUUACAACCUGCUGUCGCAGCAACGCCGCUAGACACAGCAGUCAGAAGAACCAAUCCAAGGGUAACCCAUCACCUGUGAGCGGACAACACAUAAUUGGCUCCCGUUUUCCCAAGACCAGAGAGGAUUGUGGGAUACAAAAUAUAACAUUAUAUGUGAAGGCUUUCCUAACUUAGCUGAAGCAUAUUGAACUUGAAACACAAGAUACCCCAGCCUUUAUUGGACCACGUGGUCAACGUAGGGCGUUCUGUCUCUAGAGGAUAAUUUAUGUUACUACGCUUUUGUCUUCUAUCUUUAAACCUUAAUGCUGAAGUGAAAAAAGUAUUUAAAAUACAUGUUCAAGAAACAAACAGCAUCCUAUGUGUUUUUGCUAGCACUCCUGCAGAGGGAAAACAGAUGACAACAACUAAUUUGCAUAAUUGAUGUCUUUGUUCGAAUUUGGUAUGCAAUUCUAAAUGAAUGUUGGUAUAACUGAAUUUGCUUGAUUGAUGAAACAGCGAUAACAGUCAUUUAAGUUGUCAUUUUCCGACUUUAACGCUAAAAAUUACAAAACCUGAUA